ACCACAGGAUACUAACUUGAUAC
Molecule: microRNA, 23 nt
Filed under: Ananas comosus (pineapple)
Lineage: Eukaryota; Viridiplantae; Streptophyta; Magnoliopsida; Poales; Bromeliaceae
Description: microRNA s0643_c86a
Source: RNAcentral